This 468-nucleotide ribosomal RNA is filed under the name uncultured bacterium. RNAcentral describes it as "partial 16S ribosomal RNA". It matches the Rfam family "Bacterial small subunit ribosomal RNA", at positions 28 to 507 of the family's 1533-position model. The record is from RNAcentral.
GACGAACGCUGGCGGCGUGCUUAACACAUGCAAGUCGAACGGAAAGGCCCUGCUUUUGUGGGGUGCUCGAGUGGCGAACGGGUGAGUAACACGUGAGUAACCUGCCCUUGACUUUGGGAUAACUUCAGGAAGCUGGGGCUAAUACCGGAUAGGAGCUCCUGCUGCAUGGUGGGGGUUGGAAAGUUUCGGCGGUUGGGGAUGGGCUCGCGGCUUAUCAGCUUGUUGGUGGGGUAGUGGCUUACCAAGGCUUUGACGGGUAGCCGGCCUGAGAGGGUGACCGGCCACAUUGGGACUGAGAUACGGCCCAGACUCCUACGGGAGGCAGCAGUGGGGAAUAUUGCACAAUGGGCGGAAGCCUGAUGCAGCAACGCCGCGUGCGGGAUGACGGCCUUCGGGUUGUAAACCGCUUUCGCCUGUGACGAAGCGUGAGUGACGGUAAUGGGUAAAGAAGCACCGGCUAACUACGUG